AGAGUUUGAUUCUGGCUCAGAACGAACGCUGGCGGCGCGUUUUAAGCAUGCAAGUCGAGCGGCAAGGGGGGCUUCGGCCCCCCCUAGAGCGGCGGACGGGUGAGUAACACGUGGACAAUCUGCCCCCCGGCCGGGGAUAGCCCAGGGAAACCUGGAUCAAUACCGGAUGCGAGGGCGGCCGCACAAGCGGCCGUCGGGAAAGGCGCUUCGGCGCCGCCGGGGGAUGGGUCCGCGUCCCAUUAGCUAGACGGUGGGGUAACGGCCCACCGUGGCGAUGAUGGGUAGCCGGCCUGAGAGGGUGGACGGCCACAUUGGAACUGAGACACGGUCCAGACUCCUACGGGAGGCAGCAGCUAAGAAUCUUCCGCAAUGGGCGAAAGCCUGACGGAGCGACGCCGCGUGAACGAAGAAGGCCGUGAGGUUGUAAAGUUCUUUUCGGGAGGGGGAACGAGGCUGCCAGGCAAUGGGCGGCCGAUGACGUGAAUCCCGGAAUAAGCCCCGGCUAACUACGUGCCAGCAGCCGCGGUAACACGUAGGGGGCGAGCGUUGUUCGGAAUCAUUGGGCGUAAAGGGCGUGCAGGCGGCCGCCAAAGUCCGGCGUGAAAGACCCAGGCUCAACCUGGGGGGUGCGCCGGAUACUGGGCGGCUUGAGUACAGGAGGGGACGGCGGAAUUCCAGGUGUAGGGGUGAAAUCUGUAGAUAUCUGGAGGAACACCGAUGGCGAAGGCAGCCGUCUGGCCAUGUACUGACGCUGAGGCGCGAAGGUGCGGGGAGCAAACAGGUUUAGAUACCCUGGUAGUCCACGCCGUAAACGAUGGAUACUAGGUGUAGGGGGUAUCGACUCCCUCUGUACCGUAGCAAACGCAUUAAGUAUCCCGCCUGAGUAGUACGGUCGCAAGGCUAAAACUCAAAGAAAUAGACGGGGACCCGCACAAGCAGCGGAGCAUGUGGUUUAAUUCGAAGCAACGCGAAGAACCUUACCAAGGCUUGACAUCUAUAUGACCUUCCUAGAAACAGGAACUCUCUUCGGAGCAUAUAGACAGGUGGUGCACGGUUGUCGUCAGCUCGUGUCGUGAGAUGUUUGGUUAAGUCCAGCAACGAGCGCAACCCUUAUCAUUAUUUGCCAAUAUUAAGUUAGGAACUAUAGUGAGACUGCCGUAGAUAAUACGGAGGAAGGUGGGGAGGACGUCAAAUCAUCAUGCCCCCCACGUCUUGGGCUACACACGUGCUACAAUGGCUAUUACAAAGAGCAGCGAUAUAGCAAUAUGGAGCAAAUCUCAUAAAAAUAGUCUCAGUUCGGAUUGUGGGCUGCAACUCGCCCACACGAAGUAGGAGUUGCUAGUAAUCCCGAAUCAGAACGUCGGGGUGAAAAAGGUCCCGGGUCUUGUACUCUCCGCCCGUCA
Molecule: ribosomal RNA, 1403 nt
Filed under: uncultured bacterium
Lineage: Bacteria
Description: bacterial SSU rRNA
Rfam family: Bacterial small subunit ribosomal RNA
Source: RNAcentral